RNAcentral lists this ribosomal RNA (253 nucleotides) under uncultured bacterium. RNAcentral describes it as "partial 16S ribosomal RNA". It matches the Rfam family "Bacterial small subunit ribosomal RNA", at positions 524 to 776 of the family's 1533-position model. The record is from RNAcentral.
UACGAAGGGUGCAAGCGUUACUCGGAAUUACUGGGCGUAAAGCGUGCGUAGGUGGUUCGUUAAGUCUGUCGUGAAAGCCCCGGGCUCAACCUGGGAAUGGCGAUGGAUACUGGCGGGCUAGAGUGCGGUAGAGGAGAGUGGAAUUCCCGGUGUAGCAGUGAAAUGCGUAGAGAUCGGGAGGAACAUCAGUUGCGAAGGCGGCUCUCUGGACCAGCACUGACACUGAGGCGCGAAAGCUAGGGGAGCAAACAGG